RNAcentral lists this unclassified non-coding RNA (431 nucleotides) under Galactia remansoana. RNAcentral's name for it is "partial external transcribed spacer". The record is from RNAcentral. Lineage: Eukaryota; Viridiplantae; Streptophyta; Magnoliopsida; Fabales; Fabaceae.
UUGUGCAUCGAACGGUUGGCAUGCUGCCCUUUUUAUUGCUAUCAUGUGCUACCUUGAUGGUUUGCCAUGGUUUGCCUCGGGGUUCCUGUGUUGCCUACCAUGAAAAUGGUAUUUCGAUUAUCACGGAAUAUUUGUUCCAUCCAGGUCUCCUUGGGGAGAUGAUGGUGGAUUCAGUGCAAUGCAUGCGUUCCACUUUGCUCUGUGAGAUAAGUGUGGUAACAAAUGCGGUUGUUGUUCUUUUGGAUGCGGUGAGUGCAUGCAACGAACGUGGCUUCGAUUGUCCCGUUUAGCUAUAAAUAUUCGGUUGCCUUAGGAUGACUUGCCCUGGUGCUUGUUGUGUUUUCCAUUCAGGAAGACAAUGCUUGCACCUUGAGCAUGGUCACGAAUGGGUGCUACCUGGUUGAUCCUGCCAGUAGUCAUAUGCUUGUCUC